UGCCAGCCGCCGCGGUAAUACGAAGGGACCUAGCGUUGUUCGGAAUUACUGGGCGUAAAGCGCACGUAGGCGGAUUGGAAAGUUGGGGGUGAAAUCCCGGGGCUCAACCCCGGAACUGCCUCCAAAACUAUCAGUCUAGAGUUCGAGAGAGGUGAGUGGAAUUCCAAGUGUAGAGGUGAAAUUCGUAGAUAUUAGGAAGAACAUCAGUGGCGAAGGCGACUCACUGGUCCGAUACUGACGCUGAGGUGCGAAAGCGUGGGGAGCAAACAGGAUUAGAUA
This 279-nucleotide ribosomal RNA is filed under the name uncultured bacterium. RNAcentral describes it as "partial 16S ribosomal RNA". It matches the Rfam family "Bacterial small subunit ribosomal RNA", at positions 506 to 784 of the family's 1533-position model. The record is from RNAcentral.